Non-coding RNA from Glossina fuscipes fuscipes, 100 nucleotides. The record is from Rfam. Lineage: Eukaryota; Metazoa; Arthropoda; Insecta; Diptera; Glossinidae.
UAUGAAAAUAAAUAAUAUACCUGUAUAUGCUAGAAAUAUGGUCUAGCGUUUCUACGUCUUACCAUGGGAAAAAGACUCUAUAGGUUAAUGGUUUUGCUUU